GGGAGGAUGCUGAUGAAACCAUAGACAGCGACAUGUAAUUCCAUUCUGAAAUAGCGAGAGAUCCAGUGGUGGAAAAAGCGAUGUCAAGAGUUUCCGAAAUAAAGCAAAGUAACACGCCAUUUAGGUUACUUUGCAUUCCAGCUCCCAGCGCACCAUUGGAGAGGGCUUUCAGUAAUUGCGGUCGCAUAAGUGGGCAGAGACGGAUUAAUCUGAAGCCCUCAUCAAUGAACGACAUGCUAUUCCUGCACAGACUCCAUUAGUAGUCGUAGUCUACAAAUUGUUUUUUAAUUCCGUUCAUUUUUUAUUUAUUCAUUUAGCUAAAUAUUUAAAAUUGGUCUAUUUUGUUAUUGAGGAAAAAUUAUUUUUUUGGUUUGUUUAAUGUUUGAGGAAAAGAAGGCAUUCUUAAGCAGUAUAGGCAAAUUUUUCUUUGAACAUGAAAUAAAUCCAGGUUUAUUAUUAUGUAAAUCAUUAGGCUAUACUAUAGCCUAAUAGGUAUAUUUUUAGGGGCCAAGCACCGAAGGUGCGAAGGCACCUAUUGUGUUUGUUGGCGUUAUUAUUAGGGGCCAAGCACCAAAGGUGCGAGGCACCUAUUGUUUCUGUUGGCGUUAUUAGGGGCCAAGCACCGAAGGUGCGAAGGCACCUAUUGUGUUCGUUGGCGUUAUUAGGGGCCAAGCACCGAAGGUGCGAGGCACCUAUUGUUUCUGUUGGCGUUAUUAGGGGCCAAGCACCGAAGGUGCGAAGGCACCUAUUGUGUUCGUUGGCGUUAUUAUUAGGGGCCAAGCACCGAAGGUGCGAAGGCACCUAUUGUGUUUGUUGGCGUUAUUAUUAGGGGCCAAGCACCGAAGGUGCGUAGGCACCUAUUGUUUUCGUUGGCGUUAUUAUUAUUAGGGGCCAAGCACCGAAGGUGCGAAGGCACCUAUUGUGUUUGUUGGCGUUAUUAUUAGGGGCCAAGCACCGAAGGUGCGUAGGCACCUAUUGUUUCCGUUGGCGUUAUUAGGGGCCAAGCACUGAAGGUGCGAAGGCACCUAUUGUGUUUGUUGGCGUUAUUAGGGGCCAAGCACCGAAGGUGCGAAGGCACCUAUUGUGUUUGUUGGCGUUAUUAUUAGGGGCCAAGCACCGAAGGUGCGUAGGCACCUAUUGUAAUCGUUGGCGUUAUUAUUAUUCUGCUUCUUCUUCUUCUUCUUCUUCUUCUUCUUCUUCCGCCGCAAGUCUAUGGCAGCCCAUAGAACCGAUUGCGGGAAAGUUGUAUAAUUUGGCACACUGAUAGAGGACAGUCCCAACAUUAACUAUAGCUAAUUUGAAGUCUCUAACUCCUACUCUCUAGCGCCACCACUUGUCCAAACUUUCAAUGUUUGUAUGCUAAUAACUUUUGAACCGUAAGCCAGAAAAUGGAAAUUCUUUUUUCCUCUGAAUCCUUGGCUCAUGCCAAGUCGAAAGAACCCCAAAAUUCAAAAAUCGCAAGGUUUAGUUUUUUCGCUAUUUUCAAUUAUUCGAAAAACCUACUUUUUCGAACUCGUCCUAGACGGUUAGUCCGAUUGCCACGAAAAUUGGCUCAGAUCAUCUUCAGACCAUGCUGGCAAAAAGUUAUGGAAUUCAAGUUGAUUCGUCCAACUGUUGUCGAAUGACACGUAAACAAAUUUGACGAAAAGCACGCAAACAUGCACGUGAGGCUAUAUCCCGGCAACGGUUUGUCAUAUUGAGACCAAACUUGGCGUGUGUUAUAACAAGCAUGAACUGAGACUACCUGCUGUGUUUCGACACAGCGCCACCUAGUGGUCAGGAGAUAUGAAAAAUGCAUAUUUUGGCUUAUAACUACUGAAUGGUUUGGCCAAAAAUCACACAACUGGUCUCUUUAGAUUCAGUGAGUCAUGUCGAGUCGAAUGAUAUCCAAUUUUCCUGUGUCGGCCAUUUUAGGCGUCGGCCAUUUUGAAUUAUGUUUCAAAAUGCUGUAUUUUUUGAACGCAGCAUUGUAUCGUUUCGCAAAUAAUUACAAAAAUAUUCGGCUCCAUGCCCUGAAGGUACUCAAAAAGUUUGGUGGCAGCGCCACCUUGUGGCCAAUAGUUAUAAUGAAAUAUCACAUAAACGCUAAUAACUUUUGAAUAAAUUAGUCUAUUAAAAUUAAAAUGGUCUCGCUAUAUUCUGUGGGUCAUGCAGAGAGUAUUGAUACCAAUAAUGUGAAAAUUGGCCUUACUUCCUGUCCGCCAUUUUGCUUAAUGUUGAAAACCUACUUUUUCGAACUCCUCCUAGACCGUUAGCCCAAUUUUCACCAAAUUUGACGUGAAUCAUCUUCAGACCAUGCUGGCAAAAAGUUAUGGAUUUUGUGUCGAUAUACGUAACGGUUCUCAUUUAGCGCAUCAACGAAUUUGCUGGAAGGGUGCCAAAAUGCAUUUGAGGCUGUAUCUCUGCAACACUUUGACAUAUUUGCACCAAACUUUGUAUGUGUCAUCGCCACCUCACACUGACCAUGCCACAUAAAUUUGGUAACAGCGCCACCUAUUGGUCAAGAGUAAUAAACCAUUCAUUAACCAUGAGUAAUUACACUUUUUAAAAUGCUAAUAACUUUUUAGUCCAUUAGCCUAUUGCAAAGAAACUGGGCUCAAAAUAUUCCCUGGCUUAUGCCGAUAACAUAGAUACCAAAUAUGCCAGUGUUUACUGAAGUUCCGGUCCACCAUUUUGAUUUAUGUGGAAAACCUACUUUUUCGAACUCCUCAUGAACCGUAUGUCCAAUUUUCACCAAAUUCGAAUCAGAUGAUCUUCAGACUAUGUUGACACAAAGUUAUGGAUUUUGUGUCGAUAGACAAAACCGUUUUCGCAUACCAAAGCGACGAAGUUGAAACACAAUGACAAAAUGACACUUGAGGCUGCAUCUCUGGAAUGCUGUGGCAUAUUAACACCAAACUUUGUGUGUGUCAUUGAAAAGUCAAACAGAGUACACCAAAUUGAUUUCAUAACAGUGCCACCUAUUGGUCAAACUUUAUAAGCCAAGUAAUCAUGCUACUAGAGGUGGUAUUAUGAUUUUUUUUUGCCAUUUCAAUUACAAUAAUUCCAAAAUUACUGUUAUUGCUCAUUAAUGUAUUUGGUGUGAUGCUUUAUGCGAUGCUUAGCUACUACAUUUGCCGUUGGAGUGCUUGGCCCCGUAAUUGCUGCUUGCAGCUAUAUUUAUUAUUCUUCCUCUUCUUCCACCCCAAGUCUAUGGUAGCCCAUAGAACCGAUUGCGGGAAAGUUGUAUAAUUUGGCACACUAAUAGAGGACUGUCUGAACAUUAACCGUAGCAAAUUUGAAGUCUCUAACUCAAACUCUCUAGCGCCACCAAUUGUCUAAACUUUCAAAAACUUGAUGCUAAUAACUCUUGAACCGUAAGCCACAAAAUGAAAAUUCUUUUUUCCUGUGAUUCCUUGGCUCAUGCCGAGUCGAAUGGACACCGAAAUUCAAAAAUCGCAAGGUUUAGUUUUUUCGCUAUCGUCAAUUGUUCGUAAAACCUACUUUUUCGAACUCGUCCUAGGCCGUUGCACCGAUUGUCACGAAAAUUGAAUCAGAUAAUCUUGAGACCAUGCUGGCAAAAAGUUAUGGAAUUCAAGUUGAUUUCUCAAACCGUUUCCGAAUAGCUCAUGAACGAAUUCUUCGAAAAGCACGCAAACGUGAACGUGAGGCUAUAUCUCCGCAACGGUUUGGCCUAUUGAGACCAAUCUUGGUGGGUCUUAUAACAACCAUUCCCUGGGACUACCUGCAGUGUUUCGGCGCUGUGCCCCCUAGUGGUCAGGAGAUAUGAAAAAUGCAUGUUUUUGCUCAUAACUUCUGAACGGUUUUGCCAAAAAUCACAAAAGUGGUGUCUUUAGAUUCAGUGCAUCAUUCCGAGUCGAAUGAUACCGAAUUUUCCCAAUUCGGCCAUUUUGGGCGUCGGCCAUUUUGGAUUUAGUUGUAAAUUGCUGUAUCUUAAGAAUGAAGUUCCGUAUCGUUUCGCAAAUAAUUACAAAAAUGUCCGGCUCCAUGCCCUGAAUGUACACAAAAAAAUUGGGGGCAGCGCCACCUUGUGGUCAAUAGUUAUAACGAUUUUUUUGAAAAAUGCUAAUAACUUUUGCAUACAUUAGCCUAUUGUAACAAAGCUGAUGUUGAUAGAUUCCUUGGGUCAUGCCGAGAACACCGAUACCCCAUUUGUCAAUUUUGGCAAAAUUUCCUGUCCGCCAUUUUGAUUCAUGUUGAAAACCUACUUUUUCGAACUCCUCCUAGACCGUUGCUCAGAUUUUCACCAAAUUUGAUUUGGAUCAUCUUCAGACCAUGCUGGCAAAAAGUUAUGGAAUUUGUGUCGAUACACGUAACCGUUUUCAAUUAGCGUACCAACGAAUUUGCUGGAAAGAUGCCAAACUGCAUCUGAGGCUGUAUCUCUGCAAAGGUUGGAGAUAUUUACACAAAACUUAAUAUGUGACAUUGUCACAUCACAUUGACCACGCCACAUCAUUUUGGUCACAGCGCCACCUAUUGGUCAAGAGUAAUAAACCAAUCAAUAACCGCUAAUUAUUACAUUUCCAAUAAUGCUAAUAACUUUUGAUUGCAUUAGCCUAUUAUCAUGAAACAUGUCUCAAAAUGUUCCUUGGGACAUGCCGACAACAUACAUACCAAUUAUGUCAUAUUAAGCAAAACUUCCUGUCCGCCAUUUUGAUUCAUGUUGAAAACCUUUUUUUUUAAACUCAUCCUCAACCGUUUGUCUGAUUUUCACCAAAAUUGAAUCAGAUCAUCUUCAGACCGUGCUGACAAAAAGUUAUGGAUUUCGUGUCAAUAGACGAAAACCGUUUUUGUACAGCGCUGCUUCAGAUGUCAGGCAUCUUCACAAAAUGAGUCUGAGGCUAUAUCUCUGCAAAGCCCAUUAGUGGUCUUCCAGUGACAUCUAGUGGUCGUAAAUGCUCUUUAACCUUUAUAACUGUUAUAUGUUGUCUUAAUUUCAUUCCAAAGAAGCAUACGCAAUUUAUGUAUAAUUUCACAGUCUAGAUAAUAGUACUGCACUGAUUUUAAAUAACCUAGAUAUGGCUGACAGUAAAAGAAUAGAACAGAAUUACAGACACACACACCAACAUGAAAUGUUUAAACUACUAUAUUAAUACUCAAUAAGCAUGCUUAAACCCACACACAGAUGCACACAUUUUGUUAUAUAUAUAGAUAAUUAAAAUAAAUGAUGGGUGAUAAAACCUAUUGCAAGUCUUCUGUUUUUAUGGGCUUCUAUGUCAUUUUUCAGGUUUCAUUGCAAUCAUAAUCUGGCAUAAUUAUAAACAUUAGAUAUAUCUGUAUGAAUAAAUUGGUAAACUUUGACUCAAUGUGAUCUGAAAUGCUUGAACAGUAAUAUUAAAUAAUAGUAAUAUACAUUUUUUCUAGAUGAAUCCCUCAACAAGCCCAUAAACUGUAAUGUUUUAGUCUUUAGUGAGCUCAUUAGUGGUCUUCAGGUGACAUCUAGUGGAUAUAAUUGCAAUUUUUUAUUCAACACUGGGUUUUGAAGCUUUAUAAAUAUUACAGUGUUCUUUUUUACCUAAUCUCUGUUAAAUUUUGCAUGAUUGUUUAGAAAAAAUACAGAUCUAAUGCAUGUGUGAUUAUAUUACCCUUUUUUUUUGCAGUUUAAUGCCAUUCACAACAGAAAUCUUUUGUUUUUUAGACCUGUUUAAAUGUUAUCUAACCAAAGGACAAAAUACAACAUAUUUUUUCAAAGUUAUUGAUCUAGAGAGUCCUGAGAAUAUUACUGCAGUGGUUUGAUCAAGACUGAACAAAAAACCAGGUGACCCAAAACAUUCAAAUUCGUGGACCAAUUUUAUGAAAAAGGCUAUAACUCGGGAACAAAAUGAGAUAUCUUCACCAAACUCAGAACUCAUAUGCAUGAACAAAAACUUUAGUCAAAUUAUUAUUUUUUCCAUAUCUGCUACUUGGUGGCGCUACAGGAUAAAAAAAAAAAACUAAAAUGGCUAUAACUAAGCAACCGCUGAUCCAAUCAACUUGAAAAUUGGUAUGGCCCAAUGUGGCAUAAGUGUCUAUGAGGAAUUUCACUUAUCUUAAAAAACAUGGCCGCCAUUGGCCAAACAACUUUAAGCACCUAUUUGACAAGGUUAAUGGAAGUCGAUCGGAACGAAACUCGGUGGGCAUGUUCGACUCAUUGCCCUAAAGGUCUGUAAGUAUUUUGAAAGAAAUUGCCCACAACAUUGUCACCUCCCACAGAACACAACAAAGCAAUUUGAUUACAGCGCCAACUAUUUUCCAAAAAUGAUAAUGCAUCAUUUUACUGGAGUUUUACUGGCUGUUUCAAUUACACUCUUCCAAUAAUUGCUUUUCUUACUCGUUGCAUUUGGUCUGAUGCUCCAUGCCAUGCUUAGCUCCUCGCUGUGGAACUUUUAUUAACGAUUUUCAGCCAUUUCAAUUACAAUCAUGCAAUUAUUAAUUUCAUUAUUCAUUGUUGCAUUUGGUCUGAUGCUACAUAUGCUUAGCUCCUGAUGUUGCCGCUGGAAUGCUUGGCCCCGUGAUUGCUGCUUGCAGCUAUAUUUCUUCUUCUUCUUCUUCUUCCGCCGCAAUUCUAUGGCAGCCCAUAGAACCGAUUGCGGGAAAGUUGUAUAAUUUGGCACACUGAUAGAGGACAGUCCCAACAUUAACUAUAGCAAAUUUGAAGUCUCUAUCUCCUACUCUCUAGCGCCACCACUUGUCCAAACUUUCAAUGUUUGUAUGCUAAUAACUUUUUAACCGUAAGCCAGAAAAUGGAAAUUCUUUUUUCCUCUGAAUCCUUGGCUCAUGCCGAGUCGAAUGGACACCAAAAUUCAAAAAUCGCAAGGUUUAGUUUUUUCGCUAUUUUCAAUUAUUCGAAAAACCUACUUUUUCGAACUCGUCCUAGACGGUUAGUCCGAUUGCCACGAAAAUUGGCUCAGAUCAUCUUCAGACCAUGCUGGCAAAAAGUUAUGGAAUUCAAGUUGAUUCGUCCAACUGUUGUCGAAUGACACGUAAACAAAUUUGACGAAAAGCACGCAAACAUGCACGUGAGGCUAUAUCCCGGCAACGGUUUGUCAUAUUGAGACCAAACUUGGCGUGUGUUAUAACAAGCAUGAACUGAGACUACCUGCAGUGUUUCGACACAGCGCCACCUAGUGGUCAGGAGAUAUGAAAAAUGCAUAUUUUGGCUUAUAACUACUGAAUGGUUUGGCCAAAAAUCACACAACUGGUCUCUUUAGAUUCAGUGAGUCAUGUCGAGUCAAAUGAUAUCCAAUUUUCCUGUGUCGGCCAUUUUAGGCGUCGGCCAUUUUGAAUUAUGAUUUAAAAUGCUGUAUUUUUUGAACACAGCAUCGUAUCGUUUCGCAAAUAAUUACAAAAAUAUUCGGCUCCAUGCCCUGAAGGUACUCAAAAAGUUUGGUGGCAGCGCCACCUUGUGGCCAAUAGUUAUAAUGAAAUAUCACAUAAAUGCUAAUAACUUUUGAAUAAAUUAGUCUAUUAAAAUUAAAAUGGUCUCGCUAUAUUCUGUGGGUCAUGCCGAGAGUAUUGAUACCAAUAAUGUGAAAAUUGGCCUUACUUCCUGUCCGCCAUUUUGCUUAAUGUUGAAAACCUACUUUUUCGAACUCCUCCUAGACCGUUAGCCCAAUUUUCACCAAAUUUGACGUGCAUCAUCUUCAGACCAUGCUGGCAAAAAGUUAUGGAUUUUGUGUCGAUAUACGUAACGGUUCUCAUUUAGCGCAUCAACGAAUUUGCUGGAAGGGUGCCAAAAUGCAUUUGAGGCUGUAUCUCUGCAACACUUUGACAUAUUUGCACCAAACUUUGUAUGUGUCAUCGCCACCUCACACUGACCAUGCCACAUAAAUUUGGUAACAGCGCCACCUAUUGGUCAAGAGUAAUAAACCAUUCAUUAACCAUGAGUAAUUACACUUUUUAAAAUGCUAAUAACUUUUUAAUGCAUUAGCCUAUUUGAAGGAAACUGGGCUCAAAAUAUUCCCUGGCUUAUGCCGAUAACAUAAAUACCAAAUAUACCACGGUAAGCUGAACUUCCGGUCCGCCAUUUUGAUUUAUGUUGAAAACAUACUUUUUCGAACUCCUGAUCAACCGUAUGUCCGAUUUUCACCAAAUUCGAAUCAAAUGAUCUUCAGGCUAUACUGAUUCAAAGUUAUGGAUUUUGAGUCGAUAGACAAAACCGUUUUCGCAUACCACAUCGACGAAUUUGAGGCACAAUGAGAAAAUGACACUUGAGGCUGUAUCCCUGGAAUGCUUUGGCAUAUUGACACCAAACUUUGUGUGUGUCAUUGAAAAGACACACAGAGUACACCAAAUUGAUUUUAUAACAGUGUCACCUAUUGGUCAAGCUUGAUAAACCAAGUAAUCAUGCUACUAGAGGUGGUAUUGGGUUUUUUUUUUUUUUUGCCAUUUCAAAUACAAUAAUUCCAAAAUUGCUGUUAUUGCUCAUUAAUGUAUUUGGUGUGAUGCUUUAUGCGAUGCUUAGCUACUACAUUUGCCGUUGGAGUGCUUGGCCCCGUAAUUGCUGCUUGCAGCUAUAUUUAUUAUUAUUCUUCUUCUUCCACCCCAAGUCUAUGGUAGCCCAUAGAACCGAUUGCGGGAAAGUUGUAUAAUUUGGCACACUAAUAGAGGACUGUCUGAACAUUAACCGUAGCAAAUUUGAAGUCUCUAACUCAAACUCUCUAGCGCCACCAAUUGUCUAAACUUUCAAAAACUUGAUGCUAAUAACUCUUGAACCGUAAGCCACAAAAUGAAAAUUCUUUUUUCCUGUGAUUCCUUGGCUCAUGCCGAGUCGAAUGGACACCGAAAUUCAAAAAUCGCAAGGCUUAGUUUUUUCGCUAUCGUCAAUUGUUCGUAAAACCUACUUUUUCGAACUCGUCCUAGGCCGUUGCACCGAUUGUCACGAAAAUUGAAUCAGAUAAUCUUCAGACCAUGCUGGCAAAAAGUUAUGGAAUUCAAGUUGAUUUCCCAAACCAUUUCCGAAUAGCUCAUGAACGAAUUCUUCGAAAAGCACGCAAACGUGAACGUGAGGCUAUAUCUCCGCAACGGUUUGGCCUAUUGAGACCAAUCUUGGUGGGUCUUAUAACAACCAUUCCCUGGGACUACCUGCAGUGUUUCGGCGCUGUGCCCCCUAGUGGUCAGGAGAUAUGAAAAAUGCAUGUUUUUGCUCAUAACUUCUGAACGGUUUUGCCAAAAAUCACAAAAGUGGUGUCUUUAGAUUCAGUGCAUCAUUCCGAGUCGAAUGAUACCGAAUUACCGAAUGAAGUUCCGUAUCGUUUCGCAAAUAAUUACAAAAAUGUCCGGCUCCAUGCCCUGAAUGUACACAAAAAUUGGGGGCAGCGCCACCUUGUGGUCAAUAGUUAUAACGAUUUUUCGAAAAAUGCUAAUAACUUUUGCAUACAUUAGCCUAUUGUAACAAAACUGAUGUUGAUAGAUUCCUUGGGUCAUGCCGAGAACACCGAUACCCCAUUUGUCAAUUUUGGCAAAAUUUCCUGUCCGCCAUUUUGAUUCAUGUUGAAAACCUACUUUUUCGAACUCCUCCUAGACCGUUGCUCAGAUUUUCACCAAAUUUGAUUUGGAUCAUCUUCAGACCAUGCUGGCAAAAAGUUAUGGAAUUUGUGUCGAUACACGUAACCGUUUUCAAUUAGCGUACCAACGAAUUUGCUGGAAAGAUGCCAAACUGCAUCUGAGGCUGUAUCUCUGCAAAGGUUGGAGAUAUUUACACAAAACUUAAUAUGUGACAUUGUCACAUCACAUUGACCACGCCACAUCAUUUUGGUCACAGCGCCACCUAUUGGUCAAGAGUAUUAAACCAAUCAAUAACCGCUAAUUAUUACAUUUCCAAUAAUGCUAAUAACUUUUGAUUGCAUUAGCCUAUUAUCAUGAAACAUGUCUCAAAAUGUUCCUUGGGACAUGCCGACAACAUACAUACCAAUUAUGUCAUAUUAAGCAAAACUUCCUGUCCGCCAUUUUGAUUCAUGUUGAAAACCUUUUUUUUUAAACUCAUCCUCAACCGUUUGUCUGAUUUUCACCAAAAUUGAAUCAGAUCAUAUUCAGACCGUGCUGACAAAAAGUUAUGGAUUUCGUGUCAAUAGACGAAACCGUUUUUGUACAGCGCUGCUUCAGAUGUCAGGCAUCUUCACAAAAUGAGUCUGAGGCUCUAUCUCUGCAUAUACACACACACACACACACAGAGAGAGAAGUACAUGCCCACACAUUUUGUUGUAUGUAGAUAUUUGAAAUAAAUUAUAGGUGACACACAACUCACAGAAAGACUUCUUUUCUUACAUUUCUAUGUCAGGUUUCAUUGCAUUCAUAUUCUGACAUAAUAGUAAACAUUUGAUAUACAUGUAUGAAUAAAUUGUUGAACUUUCACUCAAUGUGAUCUUAAAUGCUUGAACAGUAAUAUUAAAUAAUAGUAAUAUAUAUUUUUCUAGAUGAAUCAAUCAUCGAGACAAUGUACUGUAAUGUUUUAGUCUUUAGUGAGCCCAUUAGUGGUCUUCCAGUGACAUCUAGUGGUCGUAAAUGCAAUUUAUCAUACAACACUGUCUCUUUAACCUUUAUAACUGUUAUAUGUUGUCUUAAUUUCAUUCCAAAGAAGCAUACGCAAUUUAUAUAUAAUUUCACAGUCUAGAUAAUAGUACUGCACUGAUUUUAAAUAACAUAGAUAUGGCUGACAGUAAAAGAAUAGAACAGAAUUACAGACAAACACAAACAUGAAAUGUUUAAACUAGUAUAUUAAUUCUCAAUAAGCAUGCUUAAACCCACACACAGAUGCACACAUUUUGUUAUAUAUAUAGAUAAUUAAAAUAAAUGAUGGGUGAUAAAACCUAUUGCAAGUCUUCUGUUUUUAUGGGCUUCUAUGUCAUUUUUCAGGUUUCAUUGCAAUCAUAAUCUGGCAUAAUUAUAAACAUUAGAUAUAUCUGUAUGAAUAAAUUGGUAAACUUUGACUCAAUGUGAUCUGAAAUGCUUGAACAGUAAUAUUAAAUAAUAGUAAUAUAAAUUUUUUCUAGAUGAAUCCCUCAACAAGCCCAUAAACUGUAAUGUUUUAGUCUUUACUGAGCUCAUUAGUGGUCUUCCGGUGACAUCUAGUGGUUGUAAUUGCAAUUUUUUAUUCAACACUGGGUUUUGAAGCUUUAUAAAUAUUACAGUGUUCUUUUUUACCUAAUCUCUGUUAAAUUUUGCAUGAUUGUUUAGAAAAAAUACAGAUCUAUUGCAUGUGUGAUUAUAUUACCCCUUUUUUUUUUUUGCAGUUUAAUGCCAUUCACAACAGAAAUCUUUUGUUUUUUAGGCCAUUUUAACUGUUAUAGCACCAGCUAUUUUCUGAUCUUAAUGAAACUUUGCAUGCUUGGUGGGUCAUCUUUCACA
Molecule: long non-coding RNA, 11325 nt
Organism: Carassius gibelio (silver crucian carp)
Lineage: Eukaryota; Metazoa; Chordata; Actinopteri; Cypriniformes; Cyprinidae
Exons: 4
Source: RefSeq, a predicted model, not a curated record